This 433-nucleotide ribosomal RNA is filed under the name uncultured bacterium. RNAcentral describes it as "partial 16S ribosomal RNA". It matches the Rfam family "Bacterial small subunit ribosomal RNA", at positions 29 to 507 of the family's 1533-position model. The record is from RNAcentral.
AGCGAACGCUGGCGGCAGGCCUAACACAUGCAAGUCGAACGAACUCUUCGGAGUUAGUGGCGGACGGGUGAGUAACACGUGGGAACGUGCCUUUUGGUUCGGAAUAACUCAGGGAAACUUGUGCUAAUACCGAAUGUGCCCUUCGGGGGAAAGAUUUAUCGCCAUUAGAGCGGCCCGCGUCAGAUUAGCUAGUCGGUGAGGUAACGGCUCACCAAGGCGACGAUCAGUAGCUGGUCUGAGAGGAUGACCAGCCACACUGGGACUGAGACACGGCCCAGACUCCUACGGGAGGCAGCAGUGGGGAAUCUUGCGCAAUGGGCGAAAGCCUGACGCAGCCAUGCCGCGUGAAUGAUGAAGGUCUUAGGAUUGUAAAAUUCUUUCACCGGGGACGAUAAUGACGGUACCCGGAGAAGAAGCCCCGGCUAACUUCGUG